RNAcentral lists this ribosomal RNA (511 nucleotides) under uncultured bacterium. Its description in RNAcentral is "bacterial SSU rRNA". It matches the Rfam family "Bacterial small subunit ribosomal RNA", at positions 791 to 1301 of the family's 1533-position model. The record is from RNAcentral.
UAGUCCACGCUGUAAACGAUGGAUACUAGAUGUCGGAGGCUCUUGCCCUUUCGGUGUCGCAGUUAACGCGUUAAGUAUCCCGCCUGGGGAUUACGGCCGCAAGGCUAAAACUCAAAGAAAUUGACGGGGGCCCGCACAAGCGGUGGAGUAUGUGGUUUAAUUCGAGGCAACGCGAAGAACCUUACCUGGGCUUGACAUCCCGUGCUACCCUGUGAAAGCAGGGGUUCCCUUCGGGGACACGGUGACAGGUGCUGCAUGGCUGUCGUCAGCUCGUGUCGUGAGAUGUUGGGUUAAGUCCCGCAACGAGCGCAACCCUUGCCAUUAGUUGCCAGCAUUAAGUUGGGCACUCUAAUGGGACCGCUUGCCGAUAAGGCAGAGGAAGGUGGGGAUGACGUCAAGUCCGCAUGGCCCUUACGUCCAGGGCUACACACGUACUACAAUGACCCGUACAGAGCGUUGCGAUGCCGCGAGGUGGAGCUAAUCGCAGAAAACGGGUCUCAGUUCGGAUUGG